ACGGGAUCUGACCAGCUUGCUGGUUGGUGAGAGUGGCGAACGGGUGAGUAAUGCGUGACCAACCUGCCCCAUGCUCCAGAAUAGCUCUUGGAAACGGGUGGUAAUGCUGGAUGCUCCAACUUGACGCAUGUCUUGUUGGGAAAGUGUUUAGUGGCAUGGGAUGGGGUCGCGUCCUAUCAGCUUGUAGGCGGGGUAAUGGCCCACCUAGGCUUCGACGGGUAGCCGGCCUGAGAGGGCGGACGGCCACAUUGGGACUGAGAUACGGCCCAGACUCCUACGGGAGGCAGCAGUGGGGAAUAUUGCGCAAUGGGGGAAACCCUGACGCAGCGACGCCGCGUGCGGGAUGAAGGCCUUCGGGUUGUAAACCGCUUUUGAUUGGGAGCAAGCUUUCGGGUGAGUGUACCUUUCGAAUAAGCGCCGGCUAACUACGUGCCAGCAGCCGCGAUAAUACGUAGGGCGCAAGCGUUAUCCGGAAUUAUUGGGCGUAAAGAGCUUGUAGGCGGUUCGUCGCGUCUGGUGUGAAAGCCCAUCGCUUAACGGUGGGUCUGCGCCGGGUACGGGCGGGCUAGAGUGCAGUAGGGGAGACUGGAAUUCCCGGUGUAACGGUGGAAUGUGUAGAUAUCGGGAAGAACACCAAUGGCGAAGGCAGGUCUCUGGGCUGUUACUGACGCUGAGAAGCGAAAGCGUGGGGAGCGAACAGGAUUAGAUACCCUGGUAGUCCACGCCGUAAACGGUGGACGCUGGAUGUGGGGCC
This 754-nucleotide ribosomal RNA is filed under the name uncultured bacterium. RNAcentral describes it as "bacterial SSU rRNA". It matches the Rfam family "Bacterial small subunit ribosomal RNA", at positions 66 to 829 of the family's 1533-position model. The record is from RNAcentral.